This 496-nucleotide ribosomal RNA is filed under the name uncultured bacterium. RNAcentral describes it as "partial 16S ribosomal RNA". It matches the Rfam family "Bacterial small subunit ribosomal RNA", at positions 28 to 507 of the family's 1533-position model. The record is from RNAcentral.
GAUGAACGCUGGCGGCGUGCCUAAUACAUGCAAGUCGAGCGAACAGACGAGGAGCUUGCUCCUCUGACGUUAGCGGCGGACGGGUGAGUAACACGUGGAUAACCUACCUAUAAGACUGGGAUAACUUCGGGAAACCGGAGCUAAUACCGGAUAAUAUAUUGAACCGCAUGGUUCAAUAGUGAAAGACGGUUUUGCUGUCACUUAUAGAUGAUCCGCGCCGCAUUAGCUAGUUGGUAAGGUAACGGCUUACCAAGGCGACGAUGCGUAGCCGACCUGAGAGGGUGAUCGGCCACACUGGAACUGAGACACGGUCCAGACUCCUACGGGAGGCAGCAGUAGGGAAUCUUCCGCAAUGGGCGAAAGCCUGACGGACCAACGCCGCGUGAGUGAUGAAGGUCUUCGGAUCGUAAAACUCUGUUAUUAGGGAAGAACAAAUGUGUAAGUAACUAUGCACGUCUUGACGGUACCUAAUCAGAAAGCCACGGCUAACUACGUG